Molecule: long non-coding RNA, 775 nt
Organism: Bubalus bubalis (water buffalo)
Lineage: Eukaryota; Metazoa; Chordata; Mammalia; Artiodactyla; Bovidae
Exons: 5
Source: RefSeq, a predicted model, not a curated record
CUGGGCUGUUGGGGCGGGAAACAAGACAGGUGCUUCUCAGAACCUGUGUUUCAGGAUCUUCCCUCUGCCUUGGCGAAUUCCGGGCGCGACCUCCAGGCCAUGAACGAAUUCAGGCUCUUGGGCUCAGCGGAGAUGGUAAAGAACUGAGGGCCCAGAAUUCCACAGUUUCAGCACAGAGAGUUCGGACGUAGGGCACGGCUCUUUCAGCACCAAGGACAGAGCCCACGGUUUGGAAGCUGAAGCCUCCAGUUCGUCGGCUUAGGUCGCCAGUAUCUAGCAAACCCGCCUCCCUCGCACCAUCCGCCUCCAGGCAGUCAAGGAUGCCUGGGGCUUGGGAACAUGACCCUCCGCCCACAGUACCCCUUCUCUGGGAGGUUUAAAGAUACUCCAAGUGGAUUUGGAGCCAAACCUUUCGGCAAAGGAAAAAAAGGAGUGGGUGAAGUAUGCGUAAAAUAUGGUCCACGUCAAGGCACCCCUGGAAGACACUCACACUCACCCCUGAAAGACAGGAAGGGGUUAAAAAUUGUGGCAAGCGAGAGAGAAUUCCAGCCGGAAUUGAACGCAGCCAAGAGGACUCCGGAAAUUACAACCUUUUCUUCUGAAGAACAGUGAAACUUCGAGAAGGCAAUGGCAACCCACUCCAGCACUCUUGCUUGGAAAAUCCCAUGGACGGAGGAGCCUGGUGGGCUGCCAUCUAUGGGGUUGCACAGAGUCGGACACAACUGAAAUGACUUAGCAGCAGCAGCAGCAAAUAAAUGGGAUGCAAGGAAGAUGA